CCUUUAAGCCACAUCGACUCAAAUUCGUUUUGCUUUAUCUUUUUGGGAAAGUUGACGGACGCAUUUCUGUAUCGCUCAAAGAUAUCAGGCAAAACAUUAGUCAAAUGUGAUCUUGGAA
Molecule: non-coding RNA, 118 nt
Organism: Bombyx mori (domestic silkworm)
Lineage: Eukaryota; Metazoa; Arthropoda; Insecta; Lepidoptera; Bombycidae
Source: RefSeq, marked provisional